AAGUAGUACACAAACGCUAUCUUCAAAAGUUCCAAUCUGUCUCCCCCAAAAAGCCUUCAUCAGUUCGCCGGUGAUUACGAUGAAGUCAAACCACCAUCGACGACAUCGGUAAGCUAUGUUUUUCAUUACUAUUCCAACUCUAUUCUACCAUUUUUGUUUAUUUUCUUUAAGAUCUCAGUCAUGCCUUCUGUUUUUCACUCUGCCUGCGCGCCGCUUGGUCUUAUGUAUUCCAUUUCUAGGGUUUCAUAGAAAAUGAAGUUGAGUUCUAUAUUUGUCGAAAGAUCACUUCUUUUGUCUCAAUAAGAAAAUGGCGAUUAUUGUUUCUUGAAUGCUAAUGUUUUUAUUGUUUGUGAGAGCAUCGCCCGUCUUCACUAAGCUCGGCGAGUCGGUGUAGAAGCAAAGAGAAGCAGAGAACGACGGCGGUAUGGGAACGUCGGUUCAGGUGACGCCAGUCUGUGGAGUAUACAACGAGAACCCUCUCUCUUACCUCGUCUCUAUCGACGGUUUCAAUUUCCUCAUCGAUUGUGGUUGGAAUGACCGAUUUGAUACUUCUCUUCUUCAGCCCCUUUCCAGUUAAGGUGUCGGUGAUGCUAACCAACCCUUUCAAAUUAGAGAAGAACACUGGAAAUAAAGUUGGCAAAAUCAAGUUUCAGAGUUUGAUCAAUUCACUUUGGAUGACAUUGAUUCUGCAUUCCAAAAAGUGACCAGAUUAACCUACUCUCAAAACCAUUACAUGUCUGGCAGGAAAAGGAGAAGGGAUUGUUACUACUCCACUGGUAGCUGGUCAUCUGUUGGGAGGUACUACAUGGAAGAUAACAAAAGAUGGGGGAGGAUGUCAUAUAUGCUGUUGACUUCAAUCACCGUAAAGAAAGACAUCUGAAUGGAACUGUUUUACAGUCUUUUGUCCGUCCAGCUGUUCUAAUAACGGAUGCGUUUAAUGCUUUAAACAAUCAACCCUCUAGGCGCCAAAGGGACCAAGAGUUUCUAGAUGCCAUAGAAAAAACUGUAAAUGUUGGGGGAAAUGUAUUACUUCCUGUUGAUACUGCUGGUAGAGUUUUGGAGCUCAUCUUGACAUUGGAACAGCACUGGAUGCAAAAGCAGUUGUCGACUCCCAUCUUCUUCCUCUCAUAUGUAGCGUCAAGUACUGUUGACUAUGCGAAGAGUUUCCUUGAGUGGAUGAGCGAUUCAAUUGCAAAAUCUUUUGAGCACACUCGGACAAUGAUUUUCUAUUAAGGUUGUGAAUGACAUUUGUCUUGUGGCAUCCACUGAAAGGGUAGCAUCCUGUGAUGGGACAGUGCAUGUGUGGAAUGGCCAAACGGGGAAGCUAAUAUCUGUGUUUGCAGAGUUUUCGACAAGCUGUGUGCAACAUACCAGCCCUUUAGCCAAAGCUUCAAAGUUGAACGCAGAACAGGCUAAUAUGCUACAUUUCAAUUCAUUGUCAGGUGGAAUAUUGAACACUUCAUUUGAUGGUUACUUAUACACUAGUAUGCAUUACUAAGAAUAUCUGGACAAUCUUGUUGUGGGUACUGGAAAUGGCUCUCUUAGAUUCAUUGAUGUCAAACAAGGUCAAAAACUUCAUUUAUGAAGGAGUGAAGCUACUGAGUCCAAUUUCCCUUCUCUGAUUUCUUCCAUAUGCUCAUGUGCUUUGACUAAACAGCAAUACGGAAAUCCUCAAUAUCCAUCUUGGGUUGCUGUGGGGCAAAGUUCUGGCUAUUGCAGGUUAUUUGAUGUGAGGAGUGGAAAAAUUAUUUCCUCAUGGCAAGCUCAUGAUGGUUUUGUCACAAAGAUAGCCGCACCAGAAGAACAUUUGCUGGUUUCGAGCUCCCUCGACCGCACCUUAAGGAUUUGGUACUUGAGAAGGUGGAGUAGAUCAAUAAAUAGAAGAUGAAGGCAUUGAAGAUCCAGACCUUAUUUAAGAUGAAUUUUGAAUUGCUAUAGAUGAAUGUUCUAGGAAUCUUUUGUUGUCAACAUUUUGAGACUUACUAUCGUGAAAUGUAUUAAACUUAUGCACUUGGGGUAGAACAUUUACUUUUGUGGAUAUUAUUAGCUUGUUGGACGAGUUAUAUUAUGAAUAGUUUUAUUUUGUGAUUUA
Nicotiana tabacum (common tobacco) is the source of this 2092-nucleotide non-coding RNA. NCBI's taxonomy places the organism in Eukaryota, Viridiplantae, Streptophyta, Magnoliopsida, Solanales, Solanaceae. The record is from RefSeq and is a predicted model, not a curated record.